GCUGGGCACGGUGGUGAGUGCCUGUAGUCCCAGCUACUCGGGAGGCUGAGGUGGGAGGAUCGCUUGAGCCCAGGAGUUCUGGGCUGUAGUGCGCUAUGCCGAUUGGGUGUCCGCACUAAGUUCGGCAUCAAUAUGGUGAACUUUGGGGAGCAGGGGACCACCAGGUUGCCUAAGGACGGGUGAAACAGCCCAAGUCGGAAACAGAGCAAGUCAAAACUCCCGUGCUGAUCAGUAGUGGGAUCCCGCCUGUGAAUAGCCGCUGCACUCCAGCCUGGGCAACAUAGGGAGACCCCGUCUCU
Molecule: signal recognition particle RNA, 299 nt
Filed under: Cebus imitator (Panamanian white-faced capuchin)
Lineage: Eukaryota; Metazoa; Chordata; Mammalia; Primates; Cebidae
Description: Metazoan signal recognition particle RNA (ENSCCAG00000002301.1)
Rfam family: Metazoan signal recognition particle RNA
About the family: The signal recognition particle (SRP) is a universally conserved ribonucleoprotein. It is involved in the co-translational targeting of proteins to membranes. The eukaryotic SRP consists of a 300-nucleotide 7S RNA and six proteins: SRPs 72, 68, 54, 19, 14, and 9.
Source: RNAcentral